Molecule: ribosomal RNA, 495 nt
Filed under: uncultured bacterium
Lineage: Bacteria
Description: partial 16S ribosomal RNA
Rfam family: Bacterial small subunit ribosomal RNA
Source: RNAcentral
GACGAACGCUGGCGGCGUGCCUAAUACAUGCAAGUAGAACGCUGAAGGAGGAGCUUGCUUCUCUGGAUGAGUUGCGAACGGGUGAGUAACGCGUAGGUAACCUGCCUGGUAGCGGGGGAUAACUAUUGGAAACGAUAGCUAAUACCGCAUAAUAGCAGUUGUUGCAUGACAACUGUUUGAAAGGUGCAAUUGCACCACUACCAGAUGGACCUGCGUUGUAUUAGCUAGUUGGUGGGGUAACGGCUCACCAAGGCGACGAUACAUAGCCGACCUGAGAGGGUGAUCGGCCACACUGGGACUGAGACACGGCCCAGACUCCUACGGGAGGCAGCAGUAGGGAAUCUUCGGCAAUGGACGGAAGUCUGACCGAGCAACGCCGCGUGAGUGAAGAAGGGUGUCGGAUCGUAAAGCUCUGUUGUAAGAGAAGAACGAGUGUGAGAGUGGAAAGUUCACACUGUGACGGUAUCUUACCAGAAAGGGACGGCUAACUACGUG